UAGUCCACGCCGUAAACGAUGAGUGCUAGGUGUUAGGGGGUUUCCGCCCCUUAGUGCUGAAGUUAACGCAUUAAGCACUCCGCCUGGGGAGUACGGCCGCAAGGCUGAAACUCAAAAGAAUUGACGGGGGCCCGCACAAGCGGUGGAGCAUGUGGUUUAAUUCGAAGCAACGCGAAGAACCUUACCAGGUCUUGACAUCCUCUGAUACCUCUAGAGAUAGAGUUUUCCCUUCGGGGACAGAGUGACAGGUGGUGCAUGGUUGUCGUCAGCUCGUGUCGUGAGAUGUUGGGUUAAGUCCCGCAACGAGCGCAACCCUUGAUCUUAGUUGCCAGCAUUUAGUUGGGCACUCUAAGGUGACUGCCGGUGACAAACCGGAGGAAGGUGGGGAUGACGUCAAAUCAUCAUGCCCCUUAUGACCUGGGCUACACACGUGCUACAAUGGAUGGAACAAGGGAAGCGAACCCGCGAGGUCAAGCCAAUCCCAUAAAACCAUUCUCAGUUCGGA
Molecule: ribosomal RNA, 505 nt
Filed under: uncultured bacterium
Lineage: Bacteria
Description: bacterial SSU rRNA
Rfam family: Bacterial small subunit ribosomal RNA
Source: RNAcentral